This 156-nucleotide non-coding RNA is filed under the name Polarella glacialis. Lineage: Eukaryota; Dinophyceae; Suessiales; Suessiaceae. The record is from RNAcentral.
AGGGCACUUCUGCAUCCUCUAGUGCCAUCGCAGAUGGUGUCAAGGCUGAAGGCGUUGUCAAGACCGAGGAAGUGGAGAAAAACUUGAAGGAGAUCAAAGAGAACGGCACGGGAGAGGCGAAGGCUCGGAAAUGGAGCAAGGAGGAACUCCUCCACG